AUUUGCAAGUGCAUCUUCACCAAAUAUGGAACGAGCAUAAAGGUUGGCUGCCAUAAAGCCACAGUAACCAGAAAGGGCCUUUUCUGGAGUCAGGCAUUUCAUAUUGGUUGACUUUAAUAUGUGCUGUAAGUAGUCAUUUAAAUCAACCAUGUUGGUGUUAACUGUCACUUUGUUUUCCCAUUCAAAUUCGGCCCACAUCUGACGGAAUUCUGCAUCAGUGCAAGUUGCAGG
RNAcentral lists this unclassified non-coding RNA (231 nucleotides) under Hevea brasiliensis (rubber tree). Lineage: Eukaryota; Viridiplantae; Streptophyta; Magnoliopsida; Malpighiales; Euphorbiaceae. The record is from RNAcentral.